Non-coding RNA from Macaca mulatta (Rhesus monkey), 573 nucleotides. The record is from RefSeq and is a predicted model, not a curated record. NCBI's taxonomy places the organism in Eukaryota, Metazoa, Chordata, Mammalia, Primates, Cercopithecidae.
UCACCCCCUGGUGGGCUUGGUUGGCCACACUCAUUGGGUGCGGCACCUCUGAUGUGGGAGGCAGGGGUCGGUGGAGGGGAAGCACUUCCUCCACCGGGGGCCAGGUUGUGGGAAAGGCUGGGAAAACACACGCUCUGACGCAGGCUCUUCUGUGACCUACCUUGGGUACACGGGAGAAAUCCUUCAGCAUCCCUGAGCCUCCAUUAGCCCGUCAUGAAACGAGAGGUUAGAGAUGGUGUCCACAUCCCUUUACUGUUUUGAUGUCUGCACUUGGUGAAUCCCGGUCAAGCACACCUAACCACUGCCUCUCUGGAGAAGGAAAAUGAAGGAGGAGGAGCAGGGUGUGGCUGUGCUGGGAAAGAGACUUGGCCUGCAGCCACACAGUGAUUCAGAAGACGCUGAGUGAGGACCUCUGUGUCCCUGCUCCAAGGACUCGGAGAUGACCCGUCCCAGGACACUCAAUCCUGCCUGCAGAUGCUAGGCUCUAAGGAGAUGCCUGCUAUAGCACCAGCACAUUCUGCAGAAAUGUUUUGAAAUGCGUUAAUAAAUAACUGGAGAACAGUAUCUAUACAA